GACAGAGGGUGCAACCGUUGUUCGGAAUUACUGGGCGUAAAGCGCGUGUAGGUGGCGAGGCAAGUCGGGUGUGAAAGCCCUGGGCUCAACCCAGGAAGUGCACUCGAUACUGCCUAGCUAGAGUCCCGGAGAGGUUGGUGGAACUCUCGGUGUAGAGGUGAAAUUCGUAGAUAUCGAGAAGAACACCGGUGGCGAAGGCGGCCAACUGGACGGUGACUGACACUGAGACGCGAAAGCGUGGGGAGCAAACAGG
RNAcentral lists this ribosomal RNA (253 nucleotides) under uncultured bacterium. RNAcentral's name for it is "partial 16S ribosomal RNA". It matches the Rfam family "Bacterial small subunit ribosomal RNA", at positions 524 to 776 of the family's 1533-position model. The record is from RNAcentral.